AUGGCCAAAGAUGAGAACUCGAAUCUGAAUGGAUAUCCUUCUGCUCUGAUGGGUUAAAGGAUUUACCUGAGGCCA
RNAcentral lists this small nucleolar RNA (75 nucleotides) under Sus scrofa (pig). RNAcentral's name for it is "pSNORD93". It matches the Rfam family "Small nucleolar RNA SNORD93". From Rfam's summary of the family: The members of this family belong to the C/D class of snoRNAs which contain the C (UGAUGA) and D (CUGA) box motifs. Most of the members of the box C/D family function in directing site-specific 2'-O-methylation of substrate RNAs. The record is from RNAcentral. Lineage: Eukaryota; Metazoa; Chordata; Mammalia; Artiodactyla; Suidae.